Molecule: ribosomal RNA, 297 nt
Filed under: Serratia sp. (in: enterobacteria)
Lineage: Bacteria; Pseudomonadati; Pseudomonadota; Gammaproteobacteria; Enterobacterales; Yersiniaceae
Description: Serratia sp. partial 16S ribosomal RNA
Rfam family: Bacterial small subunit ribosomal RNA
Source: RNAcentral
CCUGAUGCAGCAUGCGCGUGUGUGAAGAAGCCUUCGGGUUGUAAAGCACUUCAGCGAGGAGGAAAGGGUUCAGUGUUAAUAGCACUGUUCAUUGACGUUACUCGCAGAAGAAGCACCGGCUAACUCCGUGCCAGCAGCCGCGGUAAUACGGAGGGUGCAAGCGUUAAUCGGAAUUACUGGGCGUAAAGCGCACGCAGGCGGUUUGUUAAGUCAGAUGUGAAAUCCCCGCGCUUAACGUGGGAACUGCAUUUGAAACUGGCAAGCUAGAGUCUUGUAGAGGGGGGUAGAAUUCCAGGU